AGAGUUUGAUCCUGGCUCAGAGCGAACGCUGGCGGCAGGCCUAACACAUGCAAGUCGAGCGGACGUAGCAAUACGUCAGCGGCAGACGGGAGAGUAACACGUGGGAACGCGCCCUUCGGUUCGGAAUAACGCAGGGAAACUUGCGCUAAUACCGGAUACGCCCUUACGGGGAAAGAUUUAUUGCCGAAGGAACGGCCCGCGUCCGAUUAGCUAGUUGGUGAGGUAAUGGCUCACCAAGGCGACGAUCGGUAGCUGGUCUGAGAGGAUGACCAGCCUCACUGGGACUGAGACACGGCCCAGACUCCUACGGGAGGCAGCAGUGGGGAAUAUUGGACAAUGGGCGCAAGCCUGAUCCAGCCAUGCCGCGUGGAUGAUGAAGGCCCUAGGGUUGUAAAGUCCUUUUAACGGGGAAGAUAAUGACGGUACCCGUAGAAUAAGCCCCGGCUAACUUCGUGCCAGCAGCCGCGGUAAUAC
Molecule: ribosomal RNA, 474 nt
Filed under: uncultured bacterium
Lineage: Bacteria
Description: bacterial SSU rRNA
Rfam family: Bacterial small subunit ribosomal RNA
Source: RNAcentral